UCUCAACCCAUGAUUUUCCCAUUUUUACUCUUCCAGUUCUCCCCCGUCCCACUAGGGGUGAGCUGGUGAGCAGCUGCGUGGGGUGCAGUUGCCAGCUGGGGUUAAACCAUGACAGGGGAGAGGCUACACGGGGAAAGGAACGGAACUUCUAUGUCCAUGCAACUCAUUCAACAAGUCUCAAGCAUCCCUGAAGCCCGUUUUUGUCCCACUGAAGCUUUUGAACUUCCUGCAAGGCCCGUUAUGCCAAAUUGAGAUUGAUGACAAAGUGCAACAUUUUGAAAUUAUUAAAGGGGCUGACCCAUGACCAAAGCACCGGGCCACCAAGCCUCCCAAGAUCCUCUUCUUCCCAGCCACUGUCUGUGGUGACAUCUUGGCAUCAUACAUAGAGAAGCAGUUUACAAGAGGCUCUGUGACUGACCAGAGAUCUCCAACAUGUCCCACUCAUCCUGCUGUCACAUCAUGCCUAUGACCCAGCUGACUGAUGGCUGGCUCAACGCCACACUGCUGAUUCAGCGGGUGCCCUCCCAACGCUGCCUGUACAGCAACUACAGUGAAGACGUAAUGCCUACGGCAAGUAUUCAGCCAGCGGCAGCGCGAACCGAUGUGGUCACUAUUUAAUAUGCAAGGGAAAUUAGUCUCAGCUAAACUCAUUGCACACACCCAUUACAUGAGAGAAGCAUCAAUAUUUCUGUAAACCCACCAGGGAAUUUAUUCACCUCGGCCUCCAGCAAUGGUGAAUUACCCUGGUGACUUUUAAAAUUUGGAAGCACACACAGUCAUAAUGAGAAAGUACCGUGGUUUCCCUCAAAGUAAUAUAGUGGUUAUUGUUGGUAGUUACUGCCUUUGUGAAGUGUUAACACGUGGUUAUAGUGCAGUCAUGUAGCAAAAUUAUAGGGGCCUGACGAAUGUUACUUAGCAACACUUGCUAAUGUUGAGGUGGUAAUGAAGAAAUGGAGUAAAAGAAAUGCAGGGUAUAUUGGAGUCAUAAAAUAAACUGCGGUGAGAAAGUUGUUCUGAAGAUGAAGAUGAUGUCUGUUUCUCUUUUUGCCAUGUGAAUAUGGUAGAAGAGCUUAAAAACUGAUUUGAAGGAACACAUUUUAAAUACCUAAGUAACAGAAACAAGCGUUCUCUUUUUAUUUUUUUUUAAUCACUGCUGCUGCCUGGGAAAAGCAUCAGAAUUUCUGGGCUUUUGAAGAUCCUUUUCCUGUCAUUUCAAGCCCAUCCUGAGGCACUAGCUGGCCAGUUAAAAUAAUCUCGCUUUUGAAAAUCUAGCAUUUGUCAGAAUUAAGAAUGAAGCCUUCUUUCUACUACAUCUAUUUUCCCCAUUCAUUCAUUUACAUAACUCCCUCCACCGUUAAUCAAGUUUCUGUAGGCAUAUCUCAAGAACAGGGUAAGGCCAUAAAAAUAAAGACAGACAUUCCUAGUCAUAGAUGAACCUUCCACAUGUUGCAGGUCUAUCUCAGACAUAUAUCUUGGUUUAUCUCCACCUGUUUAAAUUGGAAAACUCACAAAAAUCCAUCUCCUGUGAGAUUUCCAAGGUUUCUUGAUUUCAUUUGGGUCAGAACUGCCACAAGAGAUGCGUUCCUCAGAGCACUUCUGAGUUGCUGCCAGGAACAGGGAGUGCUGAACUGUGCCACUUAAAAAAAAAAAAGCUUUCUUUGAAAAGUCACCAAAUUUUAUAAGCUCAAAAAAAAAAUUGGCCUAGUUCAGUUUGGGGUAUGAUUAAAAGAGCUGCUCUGAUUUAUUGAUGUUAAACAAAGUAUGUUUGGGUAGAACAUUAUUUUGUAAUGGAAAAAUUGUCAGUGGAAGCACUGCCUAUCAGCUCUGCUUGGACUGGAUGAGGGCUGAGCCUUAAAUUAUGUCUUUAAUAUGGAGAAAAGGAAGACUGUUAAAAAUGUUGUAACGAGAAGGCCAUCUCAGUCUCCCAGAUAAAGGUAGCUGUGAAGUCAACCUCAACAACAUCUGAGGUUCUGCUGAUUAAGUAAUAGAUGGUAUUUGCCUGCUUUGCGCCUCACCCUGGCCCUGCAAAGCAAAUGGGAAGAAGUUUCUCAUUCCUAUCCCACCAGGAGCGCUAAGCCAUGAAUAUGGAGUGGUGGUUUGGCAAAUG
Molecule: non-coding RNA, 2107 nt
Organism: Phalacrocorax carbo (great cormorant)
Lineage: Eukaryota; Metazoa; Chordata; Aves; Suliformes; Phalacrocoracidae
Source: RefSeq, a predicted model, not a curated record